UGAAAAUAAGUCAGAAUCUGAAAAUCAGGAGCUGCAGGCUCAAGUCAAAAUGCUGCAGUCCCAAGUGUCUGAACUCACAACUGGUCAGUUAAAAGCCACCUCGGAUGCUCAAAAAGUAUUCCACACAGAUGACAUGAAAUCCAGAAAAAAUUAUGAAGUUCAGGCUUUAAGAAAACAAGUUGGGGAUGUGCAACAUCAUCUCAACACGAUGACUGUAAAACCCACAAAUCCUCCUCAGACUAAAGGUGCAAGAUGGAGGCCAGAAAACAAAGCGCAUAAAUCUUCUCCACACCUUAGUAGCCAAAGCACAACUCACACCAAACAUGACAAAGAGGAUUUCUUCUGUUAUAGCUGUGGGGAAGGAGGACAUGUGUCUACUCAUUGUACAGCUCCCGAAGACCAUGGCAAAGUCAUUCAGAAACUGAUCUGUUCUCUAAGACAAAAAAGAAAUGAGACAAACAGACAAGGGAAAGAGAACUCAAGCACCAACUGCUCUGUCAAAAGGAAUGCAGUUGAUGCCCAACAUGCUACAGGCAUCCCUAAGGAACUAGUAGGAGAGGCCUCCCUCAGUAAAGUAAUCAUUGAAGGUCAACCAACCAACGCCCUGAUGGACAGUGGUUCUAGUGUUACCAUAAUAUUUGAAAGCUGGUACACAGACCAUGUGUCCCAUUUACCUCUCCAUCCUAUUUCCAGCUUGGCCCUUUGGGGACUCAGUGAAUCCUGAUAUCUAUACAAGAGCUAUAUAACUAUGAAUGUUGAGUUCUUGGAGGAUGGUCUUCAAUUAGAGCCAACCAGAGCCAUAGAGAUAAAAAGAGUCGCGACACUCCCAUUGGACUGCGUUGUACGCUGUUUGCCACCUACUUCCGGGGUAUGCAGCCUCGCAUAGUUCCAAAAAGCCAUUCUAUGGCGUUGGACAUCAUUCACUUCCAUUGCUGACUGUCGAGUAACUUCUGAGGCGGCUGCUGCUGGAGGCGAUGACUGCUUGAGCUGGCUGAUGUUGGCGAAGGAUGGUGAUGGUGGCGGCUGCUGCUUGUGACGGCUGCUGAUAAUGUUGGCCUCUGCUGGCGCUGGCAGCUGGUGGCGGCUGGUGCUGGCUGGUGCUGGCCAUGGCUGCUGGUGGCGACUGCUGACUGCUGGAAUAAGAGGAGACUGGAGGCUGUGGAGGCUGUGGAGACUGCGGACGGUGUGCCGGGAAUGGAGUGGCCGAGUACAUCCAUGGCAACCAGUAAGGUGUUCGUCAGUGGCCUAGAUGGUAUGACCUUAGGUGAGGAGGUCUGCUGUGUGGAAAUCGCCUUCUUGGUCUGACUCUUGCUGCCAAGGAUUUUUUUUUUCAGCUCAUGGCAUGAGGGAAGGUUGCUGUCCAGACUCAUGGCCUCUCUUUCCAGCUGUUCCACUACGUUGGAGGGAAUCACUCCUCUUGGAAUGAAAGAGCUGCUCCACGUGCUGCAGGAGAGUGAACAGCUCAUCGCAUGGCCGGUAUAAUGCACCCCUUUUAAAUUCCUUUAACUGUAGUAAAACAGCUUUCUCACUUGUGUUGGUUACUUUUUCAACCAGUGCACAUUGGCAUUCCUCACAGAGCGAGAAGCUGAUGACCUUCUUCGCUAUGUAUCCUGCCAGGUGGUAGAGGACCCAAGACUCGGUCUUUGUGAGGUCAGGUGGUGAUGGAUCUACCAGCUGCUCCACUCUCACAACCUCAGAAGCACUGCAGUUGCUGUUCUUGUUGUCCAAGAAGUCCGCCAAGUGGUCUGAUGCAUCAUCCAGGUAACUGCCAGUAUGCGUUGUCGAGAGGAACUGCCCUACAGUGACAGCCCGUAGUGCAUAGUGGAACUCCACAGGUGUCGGGACUGAGUUCCUCUCACAUAUGCAAGAAAA
This is a long non-coding RNA of Fundulus heteroclitus (mummichog), 1872 nucleotides long. RefSeq lists it as uncharacterized. The transcript has 3 exons. The record is from RefSeq and is a predicted model, not a curated record. Lineage: Eukaryota; Metazoa; Chordata; Actinopteri; Cyprinodontiformes; Fundulidae.